This 492-nucleotide ribosomal RNA is filed under the name uncultured bacterium. Its description in RNAcentral is "partial 16S ribosomal RNA". It matches the Rfam family "Bacterial small subunit ribosomal RNA", at positions 29 to 507 of the family's 1533-position model. The record is from RNAcentral.
AGUGAACGCUGGCGGUAGGCCUAACACAUGCAAGUCGAACGGCAGCACAGUAAGCGCUUGCUCUUACGGGUGGCGCGUGGCGGACGGGUGAGGACUACAUCGGAAUCUACUUUUUCGUGGGGGAUAACGUAGGGAACCUUACGCUAAUACCGCAUACGACCUACGGGUGAAAGCAGGGGAUCUUCGGACCUUGCGCGUUUGAAUGGGCCGAUGUCGGAUUAGCUAGUUGGCGGGGUAAAGGCCCACCAAGGCGACGAUCCGUAGCUGGUCUGAGAGGAUGAUCAGCCACACGGGAACUGAGACACGGUCCAGACUCCGACGGGAGGCAGCAGUGGGGAAUAUUGGACGAUGGGCGCAAGCCGGAUCCAGCCAUACCGCGUGAGUGAAGAAGGCCUUCGGGUUGUAAAGCCCUGUUGUUGGGAAAGAAAAGCAGCAGGUUAAUACCCCGCUGUUCUGACGGUACCCAAAGAAUAAGCACCGGCUAACUUCGUG